RNAcentral lists this ribosomal RNA (276 nucleotides) under uncultured bacterium. RNAcentral's name for it is "partial 16S ribosomal RNA". It matches the Rfam family "Bacterial small subunit ribosomal RNA", at positions 45 to 339 of the family's 1533-position model. The record is from RNAcentral.
UGCCCAACACAUGCAAGUCGAACGUGAUCCAUCCUUCGGGAUGGUGAAAGUGGCGCACGGGUGAGUAACGCGUGGGAACCUGCCCAGAGGUUCGGAAUAACCAUUGGAAACGAUGGCUAAUACCGAAUACGCCCUUCGGGGGAAAGAUUUAUUGCCUUUGGAUGAGCCCGCGUCCGAUUAGAUAGUUGGUGGGGUAAUGGCCUACCAAGUCGACGAUCGGUAGCUGGUCUGAGAGGACGAUCAGCCACACUGGGACUGAGACACGGCCCAGACUCC